GACGAACGCUGGCGGCGUGCUUAACACAUGCAAGUCGAGCGGAGCGGCGAACGGGUGAGGAACGCGUGAGUAACUGCCCCCCUCUCUGGGAUAACAGUUGGAAACGGCUGCUAAUGCCGGACAGUGGGGGAUGAAUCGCGUCCUAUCCGCUUGUUGGUGGGGUGGUUGCCUACCAAGGCGGUGACGGGUAGCCGGCCCGAGAGGGUGACCGGCCACAUUGGGCUGAGAUACGGCCCAGGCUUCUACGGGAGGGAGCAGUUGGGGAUAUUGCACAAUGGGCGAAAGCCUGAUGCAGCGACGCCGCGUGGGGGAUGAAGGCUUUCGGGUUGUAAACCUCUUUCGCUAUCGAAAGGGUAGGUGGAGAAGAAGCGCCGGCUAACUACGUGCCAGCCGCCGCGGUAAUAC
This 405-nucleotide ribosomal RNA is filed under the name uncultured bacterium. RNAcentral describes it as "partial 16S ribosomal RNA". It matches the Rfam family "Bacterial small subunit ribosomal RNA", at positions 28 to 526 of the family's 1533-position model. The record is from RNAcentral.